Cynara cardunculus var. scolymus (artichoke) is the source of this 203-nucleotide long non-coding RNA. RefSeq lists it as uncharacterized. Lineage: Eukaryota; Viridiplantae; Streptophyta; Magnoliopsida; Asterales; Asteraceae. The transcript is spliced from 4 exons. The record is from RefSeq and is a predicted model, not a curated record.
CCAGUUUCUAUAUCAUUGAGUUCAAGUUCAGAGAUUGUGGGGGUUGAUAGCAUCCAUUCAAUAAGGCAGCUGGGAAAGAAGUUGAGCCUAUUUUAUCUAACGAGUUGAACAACAAGACUAUACGGCUCACAAGUCCAAAUUAGAAGCAGAUCUAGCUAGAAGAGCAGAACACUACUUUUCUGAUAAUAUGCGGGUUAUUAAAG